GACAGAGGUGCCAAGCGUUAGGCGGAAUCACUGGGCUUAAAGCGUGUGUAGGUGGAACGUUAAGUGCCUUGUGAAAUCCCACGGCUCAACCGUGGAAUGGCUGGGCAUACUGGCGUUCUUGAGCCAUCCAGGGGCGACUGGAACAAACGGUGGAGCGGUGAAAUGCGUAGAUAUCGUUUGGAACGCCUGCGGUGAAAACGGGUCGCUGGGGAUGAGCUGACACUGAGACACGAAAGCCAGGGGUG
RNAcentral lists this ribosomal RNA (245 nucleotides) under uncultured bacterium. Its description in RNAcentral is "partial 16S ribosomal RNA". It matches the Rfam family "Bacterial small subunit ribosomal RNA", at positions 524 to 768 of the family's 1533-position model. The record is from RNAcentral.